This 334-nucleotide long non-coding RNA is filed under the name Manacus vitellinus (golden-collared manakin). RNAcentral describes it as "lncRNA (ENSMVIG00005013359.1)". The record is from RNAcentral. Lineage: Eukaryota; Metazoa; Chordata; Aves; Passeriformes; Pipridae.
AUGGCUCUAAACUAUUAUUGUUCAAAUCUCUUGUAUGUAAUGUCUUUAUUCUCUUAGGAGAGGCAGAUGGAUCAUUCUUUACCAGCUGCCAAGGCCAAUACUGCUGUAUAGCCCUUGCUCUCAGCAACGUCCUCAGUGUCCUGGUGAUGGGGUGCCUUGUAAGGACUGUGCAGAUCAAGCUUCAUACUACCUUUGCACUUCAGGCUCUCUGUGCUGAGGCAAUGAACAGACACCUGUACUUCUCACCAAUUUUGUCACAGAAGUCUUUCCAGUCCUGUCCCCUGCUCAAACAGAUUCUGCCUGAGCAUGUCUGAACAGUCGGCUAGAGCAACCA